GCCAAUUGGGGCGUGCUAUACAUGCAAGUCGAACGAACUCUGGUAUUGAUUGGUGCUUGCAUCAUGAUUUACAUUUGAGUGAGUGGCGAACUGGUGAGUAACACGUGGGAAACCUGCCCAGAAGCGGGGGAUAACACCUGGAAACAGAUGCUAAUACCGCAUAACAACUUGGACCGCAUGGUCCGAGUUUGAAAGAUGGCUUCGGCUAUCACUUUUGGAUGGUCCCGCGGCGUAUUAGCUAGAUGGUGGGGUAACGGCUCACCAUGGCAAUGAUACGUAGCCGACCUGAGAGGGUAAUCGGCCACAUUGGGACUGAGACACGGCCCAAACUCCUACGGGAGGCAGCAGUAGGGAAUCUUCCACAAUGGACGAAAGUCUGAUGGAGCAACGCCGCGUGAGUGAAGAAGGGUUUCGGCUCGUAAAACUCUGUUGUUAAAGAAGAACAUAUCUGAGAGUAACUGUUCAGGUAUUGACGGUAUUUAACCAGAAAGCCACGGCUAACUACGUGCCAGCAGCCGCGGUAAUACGUAGGUGGCAAGCGUUGUCCGGAUUUAUUGGGCGUAAAGCGAGCGCAGGCGGUUUUUUAAGUCUGAUGUGAAAGCCUUCGGCUCAACCGAAGAAGUGCAUCGGAAACUGGGAAACUUGAGUGCAGAAGAGGACAGUGGAACUCCAUGUGUAGCGGUGAAAUGCGUAGAUAUAUGGAAGAACACCAGUGGCGAAGGCGGCUGUCUGGUCUGUAACUGACGCUGAGGCUCGAAAGUAUGGGUAGCAAACAGGAUUAGAUACCCUGGUAGUCCAUACCGUAAACGAUGAAUGCUAAGUGUUGGAGGGUUUCCGCCCUUCAGUGCUGCAGCUAACGCAUUAAGCAUUCCGCCUGGGGAGUACGGCCGCAAGGCUGAAACUCAAAGGAAUUGACGGGGGCCCGCACAAGCGGUGGAGCAUGUGGUUUAAUUCGAAGCUACGCGAAGAACCUUACCAGGUCUUGACAUACUAUGCAAAUCUAAGAGAUUAGACGUUCCCUUCGGGGACAUGGAUACAGGUGGUGCAUGGUUGUCGUCAGCUCGUGUCGUGAGAUGUUGGGUUAAGUCCCGCAACGAGCGCAACCCUUAUUAUCAGUUGCCAGCAUUAAGUUGGGCACUCUGGUGAGACUGCCGGUGACAAACCGGAGGAAGGUGGGGAUGACGUCAAAUCAUCAUGCCCCUUAUGACCUGGGCUACACACGUGCUACAAUGGAUGGUACAACGAGUUGCGAACUCGCGAGAGUAAGCUAAUCUCUUAAAGCCAUUCUCAGUUCGGAUUGUAGGCUGCAACUCGCCUACAUGAAGUCGGAAUCGCUAGUAAUCGCGGAUCAGCAUGCCGCGGUGAAUACGUUCCCGGGCCUUGUACACACCGCCCGUCACACCAUGAGAGUUUGUAACACCCAAAGUCGGUGGGGUAACCUUUUAGGAACCAGCCGCCUAAAGGUGA
This 1467-nucleotide ribosomal RNA is filed under the name Lactiplantibacillus plantarum subsp. plantarum. RNAcentral's name for it is "bacterial SSU rRNA". It matches the Rfam family "Bacterial small subunit ribosomal RNA". Lineage: Bacteria; Bacillati; Bacillota; Bacilli; Lactobacillales; Lactobacillaceae. The record is from RNAcentral.